UAGGGAAUAUUGGACAAUGGGGGCAACCCUGAUCCAGCCAUGCCGCGUGAGUGAAGAAGGCCCUCGGGUUGUAAAGCUCUUUUGUCCGGAAAGAAAAGCUUCGGGUUAAUACCCCGGGGUUCUGACGGUACCGGAAGAAUAAGCACCGGCUAACUUCGUGCCAGCAGCCGCGGUAAUACGAAGGGUGCAAGCGUUACUCGGAAUUACUGGGCGUAAAGCGUGCGUAGGUGGUUGUUUAAGUCUGAUGUGAAAGCCCUGGGCUCAACCUGGGAAUGGCAUUGGNAACUGGGCAGCUUGAGUGCGGUAGAGGGUAGUGGAAUUCCCGGUGUAGCAGUGAAAUGCGUAGAGAUCGGGAGGAACAUCUGUGGCGAAGGCGACUGCCUGGACCAGCACUGACACUGAGGCACGAAAGCGUGGGGAGCAAACA
This 427-nucleotide ribosomal RNA is filed under the name uncultured bacterium. RNAcentral describes it as "bacterial SSU rRNA". It matches the Rfam family "Bacterial small subunit ribosomal RNA", at positions 355 to 774 of the family's 1533-position model. The record is from RNAcentral.